Non-coding RNA from Mus musculus (house mouse), 343 nucleotides. NCBI's taxonomy places the organism in Eukaryota, Metazoa, Chordata, Mammalia, Rodentia, Muridae. The record is from the annotation of a RefSeq genome assembly.
AUGAAGACAGCUAUUCAUGCUUUAUUUAUUUUCUUCUGGCUACAGAUGGACUGGAAGAGCCAAGGUGAGCAGGUGGAACAGCUCCCUUCCUCCCUGAUUGUCCAGGAGGGAGCCAGUGUUCUGAUCAACUGCUCCUACACAGACAGUGCCUCUGUCUACUUCCCUUGGUAUAAGCAAGAGCCUGGGAAGCGUCUUCAGUUCAUCAUAGACAUCCGUUCAAAUAUGGAAAGAAAGCAGACUCAAAGACUCACCCUUUUAUUUGAUAAGAAAACCAAACACCUUUCCCUGCACAUUACAGCCACUCAGCCUGGAGACUCAGCCAUCUACUUCUGCUCAGCAAGUA